UGGGGAAUAUUGCACAAUGGGCGCAAGCCUGAUGCAGCCAUGCCGCGUGUAUGAAGAAGGCCUUCGGGUUGUAAAGUACUUUCAGCGGGGAGGAAGGCGAUAAGGUUAAUAACCUUGUCGAUUGACGUUACCCGCAGAAGAAGCACCGGCUAACUCCGUGCCAGCAGCCGCGGUAAUACGGAGGGUGCAAGCGUUAAUCGGAAUUACUGGGCGUAAAGCGCACGCAGGCGGUCUGUCAAGUCGGAUGUGAAAUCCCCGGGCUCAACCUGGGAACUGCAUUCGAAACUGGCAGGCUAGAGUCUUGUAGAGGGGGGUAGAAUUCCAGGUGUAGCGGUGAAAUGCGUAGAGAUCUGGAGGAAUACCGGUGGCGAAGGCGGCCCCCUGGACAAAGACUGACGCUCAGGUGCGA
Molecule: ribosomal RNA, 409 nt
Filed under: uncultured bacterium
Lineage: Bacteria
Description: partial 16S ribosomal RNA
Rfam family: Bacterial small subunit ribosomal RNA
Source: RNAcentral